AGUGAGCGCUGGCGGUAGGCCUAACACAUGCAAGUCGAACGGCAGCACAGUAAGAGCUUGCUCUUACGGGUGGCGAGUGGCGGACGGGUGAGGAAUACAUCGGAAUCUACUUUUUCGUGGGGGAUAACGUAGGGAAACUUACGCUAAUACCGCAUACGACCUACGGGUGAAAGCAGGGGAUCUUCGGACCUUGCGCGAUUGAAUGAGCCGAUGUCGGAUUAGCUAGUUGGCGGGGUAAAGGCCCACCAAGGCGACGAUCCGUAGCUGGUCUGAGAGGAUGAUCAGCCACACUGGAACUGAGACACGGUCCAGACUCCUACGGGAGGCAGCAGUGGGGAAUAUUGGACAAUGGGCGCAAGCCUGAUCCAGCCAUACCGCGUGGGUGCAGAAGGCCUUCGGGUUGUAAAGCCCUUUUGUUGGGAAAGAAAAGCAGCAGGUUAAUACCCCGCUGUUCUGACGGUACCCAAAGAAUAAGCACCGGCUAACUUCGUG
This 492-nucleotide ribosomal RNA is filed under the name uncultured bacterium. Its description in RNAcentral is "partial 16S ribosomal RNA". It matches the Rfam family "Bacterial small subunit ribosomal RNA", at positions 29 to 507 of the family's 1533-position model. The record is from RNAcentral.